AAACUUUCAACAACGGAUCUCUUGGUUCUGGCACCGAUGAAGAACGCAGCGAAAUGCGAUAAGUAAUGUGAAUUGCAGAAUUCAGUGAAUCAUCGAAUCUUUGAACGCACAUUGCGCCCGCCAGUAUUCUGGCGGGCAUGCCUGUUCGAGCGUCAUU
This 157-nucleotide ribosomal RNA is filed under the name Cordyceps sp. HMIGD 20875. RNAcentral's name for it is "5.8S ribosomal RNA". It matches the Rfam family "5.8S ribosomal RNA". From Rfam's summary of the family: 5.8S ribosomal RNA (5.8S rRNA) is a component of the large subunit of the eukaryotic ribosome. RNAcentral also lists the same sequence under 2 other names. Lineage: Eukaryota; Fungi; Ascomycota; Sordariomycetes; Hypocreales; Cordycipitaceae. The record is from RNAcentral.